AAGAGGACGUUCGCUCGGGCAC
RNAcentral lists this microRNA (22 nucleotides) under Human betaherpesvirus 5. RNAcentral describes it as "hcmv-miR-UL36". Lineage: Duplodnaviria; Heunggongvirae; Peploviricota; Herviviricetes; Herpesvirales; Orthoherpesviridae. The record is from RNAcentral.